GAUGAACGCUAGCGGCAGGCCUAACACAUGCAAGUCGAGGGAGGAGCUUUCGGGCUUCGACCGGCGUACGGGUGCGUAACGCGUAUACAAUCUGCCUUUCACAUAGGGAUAGCCCGAAGAAAUUUGUAUUAAUACCUAAUGGUAUAUAGAGGUGGCAUCACCUUUAUAUUAAAGCUGAGUCGGUGAAAGAUGGGUAUGCGUUCUAUUAGCUAGUUGGAGAGGUAACGGCUCCCCAAGGCGACGAUAGAUAGGGGUUCUGAGAGGGAUAUCCCCCACACUGGUACUGCGAUACGGACCAGACUCCUACGGGACGCAGCAGUGAGGACUAUUGGACAAUGGUCGGAAGCCUGAUCCAGCCAUGCCGCGUGCAGGAAGACGGCCUUAUGGGUUGUAAACUGCUUUUGCAGGGGAAGAAUAAGGACUACGCGUAGUUUGAUGACGGUACUCUGCGAAUAAGCAUCGGCUAACUCCGUG
Molecule: ribosomal RNA, 474 nt
Filed under: uncultured bacterium
Lineage: Bacteria
Description: partial 16S ribosomal RNA
Rfam family: Bacterial small subunit ribosomal RNA
Source: RNAcentral